CCACACCGUGUCUGACACUUU
Molecule: microRNA, 21 nt
Filed under: Gorilla gorilla (western gorilla)
Lineage: Eukaryota; Metazoa; Chordata; Mammalia; Primates; Hominidae
Description: microRNA mir-220
Source: RNAcentral